Oncorhynchus tshawytscha (Chinook salmon) is the source of this 999-nucleotide long non-coding RNA. RefSeq lists it as uncharacterized. The record is from RefSeq and is a predicted model, not a curated record. The transcript is spliced from 3 exons. Lineage: Eukaryota; Metazoa; Chordata; Actinopteri; Salmoniformes; Salmonidae.
CAAUCUACACGCUGCAUUUUGGUCCGACUCUCCUUCACACCUAGAAAACCGUUACAGCUUUUAAAUAUUUGUAUCUCUGGAGUUGUUCCUGAUGUGUUAAAAUAUGUUAUACUUUGUAUUGCUGUCAGUCAUUACUGGUCAUUUUAUAUUUUAUAUUAUGUAAUACUAUAUUGUUCAGUGUCAUGAUAUUCCUUGUUUCAUUAUCAAAUUAUUCAUUAUUAGGUAUUUUAGAUACAUUGAAUACAUGUUGUAAAUAAGCUCAAAGGUAGACAAUAAAAAGACAACAAAUGCAUGUAUGAUUUUGUUAAUUUACAUUGAAUCAUAACUACAUCCAUUCAGCUCAUUUCUUGUAUUUCUGCCUAUUGGAUACAUGAUUGUGCUAUUGAACCACAUAACCAUGAGUGGCUAGACACACACACACACACACCCUACACCUACCUAGACGUUACCAGAUUCUUUCCCAGUAGUUGAGACAAUGUACGGGUGUGUUGUUGUGGAUGCCUAUGUCAGUAUGUAUGGGUAUGUUGCUCCCUAGACUACUGCAGGAGUACUCUAAUGUAAGAUGUCAAACAGAUUUACUAGGUGGUAAAGAUCUGGAUGGACUAUUUCUAUUUUGAUCUCAUUUCUUUGAUUCUUUGGGAAUAGUUCAUACUGGUGUCUGGAGCUCUACCCCUCUGCCCUAUCAGACGCUCAGAAGUCCAUCCAGCUCGCCCCUGAUUGGCCAAAGGGAUACUUCCUCAAGGAGAGUGCACUGAUGGGGUUAAAGCUGUAUGGUGAGGCAGAAAGGGCCAUGGAUCAGGUGUUAAAGCUGGAUCAGGUCCUCCACUGAGGUCUUCAACUGCAAGGUCCUGCAGAUCAUGAACCUGGGUUUUGAGGAGGGGCAGAGAUUUUUGCAGGACUCCAGUGGUGGAUCUCUCCUCCCCCAGGACUCCAGUGGUGGACCCUCCUCCCUCAUGACUCCAGUGGUGGACCUCUCCUCCCCUCAUGACUCCAGUGGUG